CGACCUCAGAGUAGGUGAGACUACCCGCUGAUUUA
This 35-nucleotide ribosomal RNA is filed under the name Oreina speciosa. RNAcentral describes it as "partial 28S ribosomal RNA". Lineage: Eukaryota; Metazoa; Arthropoda; Insecta; Coleoptera; Chrysomelidae. The record is from RNAcentral.